UGUGAAUUGUGAGUUCCUAUUCUUCCCCAAUUCCUUCUCGGCACAGUAUUUGGUCCUGAAUUUAAUGUCUAACUUGUUAUUAAUUUGUAAAUUUGAGGAUAUGGGUUUUGAACCGGAUGUCUGGAUCGGAGAACAAUUCUCAAUUUCUCAUCUUAAAGUUGAAUCACUGAUUCAUUAGUCAUUACUUCAAAAAUCAGGAAUUAGACUAUUAGAGCAUAAACACCAUUUGUUAGAGGCUAUUACAUUUACGGGAUGGACUGAUGGAGGCUAGAGGCUGGAGGCUGGAGGGAUCUGCAAAUAAGUUGUAAUUUAGGAUAAUUCGCUGGUGAUUUCUGUGCUUUAUUUCAAAAGGAUUCCUACUUUCAUGUGGGGAUUAAUUACUUUCCAUUUAAAUAACAACUCCUCAAAUUAUGGGGCUUUAUUUCAAAUUACAUAUAUGUGAUUUAGGCAUUUAGCUUAGAAUGUUAUUGGAUUCGCC
RNAcentral lists this long non-coding RNA (478 nucleotides) under Olea europaea subsp. europaea. The record is from RNAcentral. Lineage: Eukaryota; Viridiplantae; Streptophyta; Magnoliopsida; Lamiales; Oleaceae.